GACGAACGCUGGCGGCGUGCUUAACACAUGCAAGUCGAACGGAAAGGCCCUGCUUUUGUGGGGUGCUCGAGUGGCGAACGGGUGAGUAACACGUGAGUAACCUGCCCUUGACUUUGGGAUAACUUCAGGAAACUGGGGCUAAUACCGGAUAGGAGCUCCUGCUGCAUGGUGGGGGUUGGAAAGUUUCGGCGGUUGGGGAUGGACUCGCGGCUUAUCAGCUUGUUGGUGGGGUAGUGGCUUACCAAGGCUUUGACGGGUAGCCGGCCUGAGAGGGUGACCGGCCACAUUGGGACUGAGAUACGGCCCAGACUCCUACGGGAGGCAGCAGUGGGGAAUAUUGCACAAUGGGCGGAAGCCUGAUGCAGCAACGCCGCGUGCGGGAUGACGGCCUUCGGGUUGUAAACCGCUUUCGCCUGUGACGAAGCGUGAGUGACGGUAAUGGGUAAAGAAGCACCGGCUAACUACGUGCCAGCAGCCGCGGUGAUACGUAGGGUGCGAGCGUUGUCCGGAUUUAUUGGGCGUAAAGGGCUCGUAGGUGGUUGAUCGCGUCGGAAGUGUAAUCUUGGGGCUUAACCCUGAGCGUGCUUUCGAUACGGGUUGACUUGAGGAAGGUAGGGGAGAAUGGAAUUCCUGGUGGAGCGGUGGAAUGCGCAGAUAUCAGGAGGAACACCAGUGGCGAAGGCGGUUCUCUGGGCCUUUCCUGACGCUGAGGAGCGAAAGCGUGGGGAGCGAACAGGCUUAGAUACCCUGGUAGUCCACGCUGUAAACGGUGGGUACUAGGUGUGGGGUCCAUUCCACGGGUUCCGUGCCGUAGCUAACGCUUUAAGUACCCCGCCUGGGGAGUACGGCCGCAAGGCUAAAACUCAAAGGAAUUGACGGGGCCCCGCACAAGCGGCGGAGCAUGCGGAUUAAUUCGAUGCAACGCGUAGAACCUUACCUGGGUUUGACAUGGAUCGGGAGUGCUCAGAGAUGGGUGUGCCUCUUUUGGGGUCGGUUCACAGGUGGUGCAUGGCUGUCGUAAGCUCGUGUCGUGAGAUGUUGGGUUAAGUCCCGCAACGAGCGCAACCCUUGUUCACUGUUGCCAGCACGUUAUGGUGGGGACUCAGUGGAGACCGCCGGGGUCAACUCGGAGGAAGGUGGGGAUGACGUCAAGUCAUCAUGCCCCUUAUGUCCAGGGCUUCACGCAUGCUACAAUGGCUGGUACAGAGAGUGGCGAGCCUGUGAGGGUGAGCGAAUCUCGGAAAGCCGGUCUCAGUUCGGAUUGGGGUCUGCAACUCGACCUCAUGAAGUCGGAGUCGCUAGUAAUCGCAGAUCAGCAACGCUGCGGUGAAUACGUUCCCGGGGCU
This 1346-nucleotide ribosomal RNA is filed under the name uncultured bacterium. Its description in RNAcentral is "partial 16S ribosomal RNA". It matches the Rfam family "Bacterial small subunit ribosomal RNA", at positions 28 to 1381 of the family's 1533-position model. The record is from RNAcentral.